This 290-nucleotide ribosomal RNA is filed under the name uncultured bacterium. RNAcentral's name for it is "partial 16S ribosomal RNA". It matches the Rfam family "Bacterial small subunit ribosomal RNA", at positions 337 to 643 of the family's 1533-position model. The record is from RNAcentral.
UCCUACGGGACGCAGCAGUGGGGGAUAUUGCACAAUGGGGGAAACCCUGAUGCAGCGACGCCGCGUGUGGGAAGACGGUCCUCUGGAUUGUAAACCACUGUCCCCAGGGACGAAGAUGACGGUACCUGGGGAGGAAGCUCCGGCUAACUACGUGCCAGCAGCCGCGGUAAUACGUAGGGGGCAAGCGUUAUCCGGAUUUACUGGGUGUAAAGGGAGCGUAGACGGAAAGGCAAGUCAGAAGUGAAAACCCAAGGCUCAACCAUGGGACUGCUUUUGAAACUGUCAAACUA